Molecule: ribosomal RNA, 120 nt
Filed under: uncultured bacterium
Lineage: Bacteria
Description: partial 16S ribosomal RNA
Rfam family: Bacterial small subunit ribosomal RNA
Source: RNAcentral
GAUGAACGCUAGCGGCAGGCUUAAUACAUGCAAGUCGAACGGUAAGUUGAGUAGCAAUACUUGACCUAGAGUGACGUACGGGUGCGUAACACGUAUGCAACCUACCCAUAACAGGAGGAU